UACGUAGGGGGCAAGCGUUGUCCGGAAUCACUGGGCGUAAAGCGCGUGUAGGCGGCCCUGCAAGUCGGAUGUGAAAUCCCACGGCUCAACCGUGGAAGUGCAUUCGAAACUGCAGGGCUAGAGUCCUGGAGAGGAAGGUGGAAUGCUUGGUGUAGAGGUGAAAUUCGUAGAUAUCAAGCGGAACACCGGUGGCGAAGGCGGCCUUCUGGACAGUGACUGACGCUGAGACGCGAAAGCGUGGGGAGCAAACAGG
This 253-nucleotide ribosomal RNA is filed under the name uncultured bacterium. RNAcentral's name for it is "partial 16S ribosomal RNA". It matches the Rfam family "Bacterial small subunit ribosomal RNA", at positions 524 to 776 of the family's 1533-position model. The record is from RNAcentral.